Long non-coding RNA from Nerophis lumbriciformis (worm pipefish), 804 nucleotides. RefSeq lists it as uncharacterized. The record is from RefSeq and is a predicted model, not a curated record. NCBI's taxonomy places the organism in Eukaryota, Metazoa, Chordata, Actinopteri, Syngnathiformes, Syngnathidae.
CUAGCUACCGCCUUAUCAAACCAGACAGUUUUGGAAAGAAAAAGUCACAGCUAGACAGCUUAAAAUAAAGUUUUUAGCCGUCAGUCAGCUACAGGUGUGGCAGCUGUAAGUUGGAUCAUGUUGUUGAGUAGCAGGCUAACCGGGUCCCUGAUCUGAAUCGCUUCCGGAGUCUGAGCUGUCCGGGGACGAGGAGGAUGAAGAGGACGAAGAGGAGGACGAGGAGCUGUCGUCGUCGUCACUGUCGCUGCUGACGUCGUCGGAAGAGGAGCUGGAGGAGUCGCUGCUGUCUGAUGAGUCAUUAGAAGAGCUGUCCGAAUCGCUGCUGCUCUCGCCGGCGUCUUUCGCCCUGAGUGUCAAAACAAAAGAAGGUUUAAAAAACAAGGUACUACUGGAAUUACAAGCUGGGAGGAGGUUACAGACACUUGUGCACAAGAAAUAAUACAAUAUGAAUUAAACAUGGUAUAUAAAUAAAGUGGAUUGGAUUGUUUACAGCUUCACUAAAAUUGACCGAACAGUGUACUGUAGUGAUGCCUUCAGUAGGAAUGGAAGUAAAUUCCACUAACAUAAGCGAUAGAAAAUGGAUGUGCAGCUGUGGUGAAUUCCAAGCCCAAGAGUAUUAAAAGCCGGGCUUGUGCUCCUAACGUAGCUAUCACGCUGUUAUACAAUCCCUGGGGAAAUGAUGGAAUCCCCAGACUUGGAGAAUGUUUAUCCCGUUUAAUUUUGUAGGAAAAAAAAAGCAGAUAAACAUGACACGAAACUACAGUCAUUUCAAAUUGAAUCUUUCUGUCUUAAAAAAAACACAAA